Molecule: long non-coding RNA, 137 nt
Organism: Drosophila navojoa
Lineage: Eukaryota; Metazoa; Arthropoda; Insecta; Diptera; Drosophilidae
Gene: BtbVII
Source: RefSeq, a predicted model, not a curated record
CCAGUUGUGCUAAGCAACCCUGAUUGUCAGGUCUGAUAUCGCAAUAAAAGAAUAAAGAAGUAAAACCGAUACAUAAGAUGCGUGCAUCUGUGUAUAUGUAUAACGGUGCGGCAUAGAAACCGCCGCCAAACGUAAAA